This is a non-coding RNA of Cyanistes caeruleus (blue tit), 10594 nucleotides long. The record is from RefSeq and is a predicted model, not a curated record. Lineage: Eukaryota; Metazoa; Chordata; Aves; Passeriformes; Paridae.
UGCCUGUGAGGGGACCCAGCCUGUGAGGGGACCCAGCCUGUGGGAGAAUUGCCUUUCUGAGGGGGCCCAACCUGUGAGAGAACUGUCGUUCUGAGGGGACCCAGCCUGUGGGAGAAUUGUCCUUCUGAGGGGGCCCAACCUAUAAGGGAAUUAUCCUUCUGAGGGGAUUGAGUCUGUGAAGGGAUUGUCCUUCUGAAGAGACCCACCGUAUGAGGGGAUUGUCCCUGCAAGGGGGAGUUUUUCCCCUAAAGUCACCCUGAUUACGAGCUGCAAUUAGAUUGGCAGGACCAGCCGCCGACGCGGACUUAGCGGUGUUGUGUUACAUUAAUGCUUGGUUUUAAAAUUAUCAUUCAUGUGCAUCUACAGAGACUGCGUGCUGAAACAGAUCGGAUUGGGGGUUUGGUUGGUUGGCUGGUUUUGGUUUUGUUGUGGAUUGGUUUGGUGUUAAAAUUCUAAUGGAGAUGGGCUGAAAACACACUAGUUAGUUGAAAGAAGCAGAGCGGUGUUUCUGCAAGCCGUAGUCGGAGAACCUAAUUGUAAAAGAAAAUGUUUCAAACACCUAAAGCUCUCAGCAUCGUCGCUGCUCACCACCACCCCCCAGCAGUAAAUGAACAGCAAAUCUGACCGGGCUGAUCCGAUAAUGGUGAGACAGUGACCGGCAGAACCCGGGAGAGGGUCGUGCUCCCAAAGCGGCUCUCCGUCAGGAGCAGCUCACAGCGCCUCAGGAUGUGUCACGCUUUUAUUACUUUCUAUUAUUGACACUUUAAAUUAGCGCCCAUUCUUCUGACUACGAAACGGCUAUGGCAGCAGAAACUGGGGCUGGAGAUGCUUUUGUGUAAAAAUGUGCAUGGUCUGAAAGAAAAGCCAAUUUUCUGGCAUUUCAAGGAAUGCUAUAUAAAUUGCACUUGAGGAAAACUGCAGAUAUAUUCCUGAUUUUAUAGAAGAGGUUGUAAUUGUAAGAAUGAAGUGUCGUGGGGACAAGGAGGCGUUUGUGCAACCAAGCUGAAUGGAUCAGGCAAUUGCAGUAUUAGAGGUCAUGUAGAAAAUGAGAGCUGCUGUUGUAGGGGCUUGUUCCUGUCACAUUUAAUGUUCGUUGAGCAGCUGUCCCGUUCUUAUGUUAACCUGCCUUUCAUCAAGCACAGGAACAGUUGUGCUUGGAUCUGUUACCUCGGAGAGUCUGCCCUUACACCAGGGUGUUACUUUGUCCUCAGCAGUUGCCAAGCUUUGCAGUUCUGCUUCUUUCCUGUGAGGUUAUUCCAUGGUCUAGAAUUCCUUGUUUUUCAGAAAACUUUCAUAAACAAUCUCUUUCCUAAUCAGCACUUUUCUCAUUGAAUUCAGCAUCAUGUAUUUGUUGAUUCUCUGAGUGCAUGUACACAUCAGAGGCUUUGAAACCUCCUAAAUCAUAAUUUGAACCAGAAACCAACUUUUAUUUCUCUUCAUUUGUGCAACUUUCAGUUUAUUAGCAUCGUUAUGGUAACAGGAGCUCCAGAAUGAAUUUCUGAAGGAGUUACACCAGACCUGUGUUAUGAUUUGUCACUUCCCAGCUCAGUGCAAUAUUUCUGCAUAUGGAUCAAACCACACAUUUUGCAAAUACAUAGUUGAUUGAAAUCAAACCACCCAGAUGGUUCAAGAAAUGUCUGUGUUUUGAUGGCAUAAUGUCUCAAAGCUUCAGCUUCAGAUUUUUUUUUUCUUUUUCAAUCCUGGUUGGUUUCUUUGUUUCUUUGUUUUGGUUUGUGUUUUUUUUGCCAGAUUUUACUGCCCAUUUACAGUUUAUAAUUUCAUACAGUGAUACAAGGGCAAUUGUUCCACUACUUUUCUCCCUUCUCUCUUUUACUUGGCUGGAUUUCUUCAGACUGUAGCCUGGAGUUUUUUCAUUAUGUCUCCUGGGCAGAAUCGCUCUGCUAUAUGCAGUUUCAGGUGCUCUGAUAAGGCAUGUGAGACCAGUGCUACAUGGUGGAAGCACUGGUGGAAACUGUAUCCAGGUCCAACUUGGCAGAAGCUUUCUGUCUUCCACAGUCUGUCCUGCCUCCUCAUCUCUAUUUCAGAGGAUGCAAUGUUCUCAAGCCUGCUGGGAUUGCCACUCAUACGAUCAUUCCUAAACUCAUUUCUCUCAAAAUGACCCUGCUUAUUUUAAGCAGUUUAAGGUGUGAUUCCAUGUCAUGAGUUUCAGAUCAUCUAAACUCUCUCCUUCCAUUCCCACCUCCACAUUCCCAUCUCUUUUUCCUAUGCUGGCAUUUUGCCCCAUCUUGUAUUGCCAACAAGACUGGUUUUGGCUGUACAGGUGACUGAGAGAGUUGGCUUCAGGACUGAGUACCUGUGUCAGGGGACAGUGACAGAAGUAAUGCUGUCCCUUCUGUUCCUACCAUUUCUUUCAGGAGCUUCAGAAGACUUGCUGUUCACUUUUUUUUCAGUGUUACAAUUUGCACUAAUUGUCCCUCUUAAUACCAAAUCCAUCAUUUGUUCCUGUAUGAAAUUAUCCUGUCACUUACCCAUUGAACUAGCAAUGUACUGAACUAGUGCUAAUUAUCAAAUUGAUAAAGAUAUAUAUGAUGCUUACAACAAUAUGUCUUUGAGUAUUCCACAAACCCGUGACAGUGCAGAUGUCAAUGCAGUCUAAUUUUAGACUUGACACAGUGAGUCUUCUGUUCAUUAGCUUUUGUUCAUUGUCUUAUAUCCAGCUUGAUGAUAAUCCCCUGAUUUAUUUUGGAUGGAUUUUUUGUUAGCUGCUAUAAUUGUAGAAUCCUUUGUAUAGUUGUAGAAUCCUUUAUAUUCCAUUUUAGAUGUAAGGCAAGUCUUUGGGGGAUAUGUUCAUUGACCAGAAGACAUUUGGGGUCCUUAGCCAGGUGUUUGCUUUGUAAGUUAUUUCCAGCAUGACUUGAGACACAGAAGAGAAGUGCCUGGAGCUGGAGAGAGAAUCAGGAAGGAAGUUUACAUCAAACAAGAUCAAAUUUGCUUGGAUUUGACUGAAUUUAGUAAAGGAAGGGUUUGCUCCUGCCUCCUUUUCAGCCAUCUCAGCACCCUACAGAAGAGGGCAACAUACUUUUAGAGUACAUGCUGUGUUUUUGCAGUCCUCUGCUGAAGUAGGGCAUUGAUGUGUAAGACUCAUUUUACUUUUAAUUUAUCUUCUUGAUGCUCACUAUCAGGCUACAUUUCCGUUGACUGAAUAACUAUGGAGUCAUUAUGAAGGCAAUAAGAACUGAGUUACUACCCUUGGAAGUGAUUAGUGCUGGAUUUUUGCCUCUUAAGCCUUCAAACAGGAUGUUACGUUAGUAUAUGCAAUUCCCUUCCCUGAUGUGCUGUCUGAGCACUCAAGCCAAGCUAUCAGUGUCCCAUUAUGAUUCAUGCAGAGCACUAAUCCCAAUGGAACCAAUGGAAGUAGAAAUGAGACCACAAAUGACAGUUUUCAUUGCUGUGCUCCUUUUUUUAAUUUUUUUUUUAAUUUUUUUUACAUGGAGUGAUCCCUCUUGAUGAAAUAAUAGACUAUUAAGUGCAAUCUAGUAGCCUGAUUACUAGGUGCUGUUAAAUCAUCAGAUCAUGGCUGGUGUCCUUACUCCUCUGUCUUUUCUUCUUUUCUUGCAUGUCUUCUUUGAAACACAGUUGGUUUUCAACAGACACAUAUGGUUCUCAGGAACACAGAUGUCAGGUUACAUGUGUGAUAGGCACAGCUCCAAAAUGAUCAUCAUGGAGGUUUAUCCCUGAAGCUGAAUUUUCAGAGCUGAAGGAAUAGUUUGAAGCUGAAGUGUGCAGCCUGGUUAUGAGAAUUACAGUCUAAACCAUGCCUUACAUGUGACCUUUGCUUUGGGAAAUAAAACCAUGGUUUUGAAACUGUCUAGAUAUGUAGAAAUGAGGCAAGGGAGUAUGGUAAAUGCCAGUCAAUGAGGGCUACCUCUUAGCUACCAUAUUUAUUAGCCUCAGCCUGGUGCAAGACACAGGAGCCAUUUGAAUAGGACAUUCACAAACCAUCUGUCAGCAUUGGCUGUGUUGGGCUAGUGAGCAGCAGAUUUCUCUCUUACUUGGGUCAUGUUCUUAUCUUUUGUUUGUCCACGUUUUUGUUGGAGUAGUACUCAGAAGCCUCAAGUGAAGAAAAUAACUGCACUGCAGACAUUUAUGAAGAGGUUGUUAUAACUGCUAAUGCUUCCUGCUCCACUGCUACAAACUCUGCCAUAGUGGAGCAAGAACCUGAACAGUUUCUGAAGGAAGUGUGUGAGGAAAUCUGAAUUUUAAGCCUCAUAAGGAAGUUGCUGGGAGAAAUGGAGAGAGGAAAGGAGAGGAGACUGGGAUUUCUAAGACUGCAUCAAUACUUUAAAGAGUUGUUCAGUACCGCAUCUCACGUAUAUCUUGUUCAUUCUUUGGCAGUCCUAAGAAAGCAGUUGCUGCCACUGCUGUUUCUGAAGUGGCUGAUGCUGCAGGUUAAUGUGCUUGCUGUAUCCAUCCCCUCAUAUGAAGGACAGGCUUGUGCAGAAUUACUCAAUAUUUCCCAGGAUGAAGAAAUAUUUUUAAUAUACCAGGGCAUGACUUCGGAUUGGACACCUAGGAUGUCAGACACAUUCAGAGGAAGACACUGCAACAGGUUUUCUGGUACACAGUUUGGUCAUCCUAAAUCCACUAUAUCCACUUCUGUACUUGCAUUGAGACAGGCCCAACUGGUGAUCCUGUAAGGCCUCUUUAUCUGUGUGUGGAGACUGAUCUAACAUACCUUAAGAGGUACUGCUUUUUGCACCAAGGAGAUAAUCCAAUUUCCAACUUCUGACUUUCCUGGAUUGGCAUAUUGCUUUGUGUAGCCAGGAGAUACAGACUUCCACAGCAAGUGUCUUAAUUUUAAGCAUGUAUAAACUUUUCAUGAAAACUUGGGAACUACUCUGACUCUGAGAUGGCAACCUGAAACCAGAAUUUUUCAUGUUAUAAUCAAACUCAUAAAUCUCCCAAACUUCCACAUUGAUUCUACAGUAUUACACUAAGCUUUUAUUUCAAAUCAUUCUGGCAGACUCAGUAUAACUUCCUCUGUUGUUUUAAAGAAAAUAUACUGCAUGUUCUGCCACUACCAUAAAGGGAUCACACAAUCUGUAAGGUCUUCAUUUACUGCCAUUCUCUUCUUUGGCUGAAGUGCUUUAAGGUGAUGAAACUGGGACAGUCAAGGCUCAAGGAGAAUUUAAAUGAUGUGUAGAUAUUGUGCUGGCCGUGUCCACUUGUGACAAUUUUAGCCAUGUGAUUUCUCAUUCAAGCUGCCUAGACCACCUCUAUUGCCACGGCUUUGUGAAGCCAAUCCUUGCAGUGCAACCCUCACAAAGCUGCAGAACAGCAGUGACAGCAAACAUCUUGCCACCAAAUGUGCAUCAUUUACCUGGGAACUUGAGAUUCUGACAGAUUUUGAAGAACUAGAGUGCAUCUGGAAAGAGUGUGAUAAAGAUCAGCACAGGGUCUCAUGGAAUGGGAAUGUGAUUUUAUAAACAAAAUCUCUGUAAACUGUUGACUCUUUCUUUUUAUGCUUUCACACCCACAUACUGGGAAAUACCAAAAUGUGUGUUUUUAAUUGGUCUGGCCAAGAUCAUGUGUGUGAUCACACAGAGAAUAAGGAUGCUGUUAUUCCUCAUUGUGCCUCUGGGCUUCUUGGUUGGCAAGUGAACUGAUUCUGAACUUGCUUUUUAUAUCUCUAGGAGGGAGUACUUUGCCUUCACCGUACUUCGCCUCACUGUUUUGUUUCACUCUUCACAAAUCAAUGAAUUUCAUGAAAGUGUAUAUUUUUGGCCCUGGACUCAUUCUUUGUCUUGUUUGAUACCCUAUCUUUAGGUCAGUUUGUUCUUCCUCUCUGUCCACAUAACUUUUUAACACAUCCAACUGCUUCUUCUGGUACUUUCACACACAGACAGAGACACUUCCACUCUUACUCCAUUAAUGCCAAUCUUAAAAUUUUUUUCACAUCACUGUAAAAUAAACAAGUAGCUCCCCCUACCUCUCUGAACACUUUGUUCAAGUCCGAGCCUCACUUUUUAUUUAAUGAAGAUUUAUUUAAUACAGCAGGAUAUCAAAUACACUUAGAAGACUGUCCCAGCAAGAUGUGACCCCAUUUACUCUCUGACUUUAGGAUUCUGUGCUAUUCCAGAGGGUUAUUAGUGGAACAGAGCCAAAAGGACAUUCAAUUAUUUACUUAAGUCUGAAAGGCCAGUGUUUCACAAGUACAGAGUAUGCUAUUAACAAGGAUGAAUCCUUUGGCAAUGUAUCCUUUCUACUGCAAAAUACUUGCCUAGUGGUACCCAAGACCCUUAUUACAAAUUCAUGAAUGAUUUUAAUGCAUCCUGGCAGCUUUCAGAAGCAUUGCAAUCAUGUGGAAGUAAGAAAGGAAAUGAAAAGAUCACUGGUUUGUGCAAAAUAAUACAGCUAUGCUCAUAUUUGAUCUAGUUGUCUAGUGGAAAAGGAAUAAUUGAACUUUUUUAAAAAAAAAAAUUAACAGACAUUUAUAUUACAUUCCAUCUCACCAGUCGAUUUAGAAGUCUUGUUCACAUAAGAGAUAACUCAAUAUAGAUCAUCAAUAAAAGACAAAGGAUGUCUAAAACGGGCACAGUCCUUGGUGUGUUGGAGGAGUUGUAAAAGCGUGUUGUAAACCUCAACUACCCCUUUCCAGAAAGUAAUACACUAACAGAAAAAUCUAGCUUUCAAGUCCUUUCAUUUCUUCAUAAUAUUUUGAAGACUCUCCCCAAAUUGUGGGUUUUUCUUAGAGCACUCUCAGCUUGGAGGCAGUUUUUGUUGCAGAGACAAAGGUGUCAGAAAGGAAAGUGGAUCUGAGAGUGAGCAGCAUUUUUUUUCCGUGGGGCAAUCUGGUGCUAAAUGAUAGUGGCACUUGACAAAUAACAUUUAUUGUGGUACAUGCUUGAAGAAGUAUCCAGUAGCUGAUUUCUAGUACAGUUUUGAUAAUAAUAUUUUUCCCAUUAAGCAUCUGUUAUGGAAACAAAAGAGAUAUUAUCUGAUCACAAGCCAGAGAGGAAGCAUUGAAUAGGAUGCAUUGAAAUGAGGACUGUUGUGUAUAACACAAUCAACCCUGAUGUAAAUCCAAAACUAAAGAUUCAGACUUUCAAAAUUCUAUCUCUUAUUUCUAUAGAGCCAAACAUAGCUGAGCUUUGGAUAGGGCUCCUAAAUGCUAUAAAAUCUCUUCCUUCUGUAAAGAGAUCAAAUUUGUCCCACUUGCUCAGAUUUACAGAAUAAAUUGAUUUAAAGAAAGCUUAAAAAUAAUAUCUCUAACCAGUCUUUCAUGAAGAAAUAAUUCAAAGUUUUACAGUUUGCUUUGACACUGAUAAAUUAUAUCAAUCAUCAUCACAAUUGUCUUCAGAAUUAUGCAUCUUCCCUCUCCAUUCAGUCAUGAGUAAUUUGCAUGGAGUGGUAUCAAAGAACAGUGUAGUGAAAUUACCCCAAGGUAGCUAAACAGUCUGAAAAAAUUAGGCCUGUACAUAAAGUACAGGUAAAUUUAAAAAGGUUCCGCAGACAAGAGACCCAUGCCUGAAACAGAGCAACAAGCCAGUAAAUAUUUAGGUUUAUAUUUAUUUACAAAUGUUUGUAGCAGAUGGUUACCAACAUUUCAUCAGUGUGGCUGUUUAAGCAACUUAAAAGCUGUAACAAACAGCCCAAUUUAUGUAGCAGCUCGCCUGCUUCAGCCCACUCUCACUUGCAUUACCCAGAAUGGCUCCCAUUACAAUUCAUCACAGCUAAGUAGCUGAAAAAGGAAAUAGUGCAAAACCAGGAAAGCAGCAUGGUUGUCCAAAACUAGAGAUCAGUGGUCUCCCCAUCACAGAUGCCUGCUUUGACAGAUACUUCUGUGCACAACAGUUUUCAGAAGAGUUCUCAGUCUCCCAUGUACACAGUGCACCUGGGUUAUUACAGCUUUUAGAGACUAGAUAUGCCAACACUACCUUAGGUGCUAGUUAGGUAUAAUUUCACCACUUUCUUUUUAAGACAGCACAUUUAGUAGAUGAACUAAGGUGGUCUCUUCUUUCCCCACAUUACCCUCCUUUUCAUACAACAGCCGAGGUGGCUUGGAUGGGGUGAUGGCUGACAGAUGAAGGUGGCUACUCAAAAGGGUGUCUGUGACACAUUUUGGUUAAAAAAUACUGUCUGAAGAAAAGAGAUAGAAAUGAGGGUCUCAGCUUAAUUUCCCCCAAAGAAGGCCUUACACCUAAAAAUAAUGCAUUUAGAAUUGUCAUAUAGAAUAUACAGUUUGGUAUACCUCCUAAUGAAACGGAGAGCUGGACUGCUCUCAAAUAUUUAAUUUGUUCACAAAUUCAAGAAUAAAGAUUAUCUCUUCAUAGGCAGCUGGACGAAACUACUAGUGAUGCCAGUGUAGAUAGAAGAAAACAUCAAUUUUAUCACCAUAAAAAGGAUGGACAGUAUAAGUAAACACUGAUUUAAAAAUGGAAACAGGAAUGCUUGAUUUGUAAACAUUUAUUGUGAAGCAUACUUUCGUGUUUCUUUGCUGGCAAGUGGUAAGGAAAAGGGUAGUUGCUGGUUAAAGAGAAUGUCACUGCAGGUGGCUCAGAGUAGAGUGUACCACCAUCAUUUCACUGUCUGACGGCCUCAGAAACCCAGGCCUCAGACUUGGUGUGGUGUGAGUGCACAUCAGUGUCUGAGAAAGUGUUAUUGACUGUACAUUUGCACUCCUUUGUUCUUCCUGGGGAAAUUCUCUCUACAGUGACAAUGUGCAACAUCAUACAAACUAAAAGGUUGUAGUUUAUGCUGAUUUAAUUGAUUAGGUUUAAAUUACUAAGAUGCUGAGAAUAAAAGGGGUUUUUUCCUUUUCUGUCUUUCAUUUAUAUGUGCGCUAAAAACAACUUUCAUAAGAAAAUCUCUUAAAUUAGGAGUGAUGUGCUUUAAAAUAUUCUUUCUGUGUCACUUGCCACAUUCCACAGCACGUUUCAUAUAAGACCACGCUGUGUAUGUUUAGAUACGAUGCUUGCCCACAGUACACUUUGCUGAGGUCCCCCCUCAGAGCUGAGGAGCUCCAAGCUUGCACAUUAGCCCAACGUGGGAACUUUUCCAUGUCACAGCGUGACUGAUGCUCCCAUUGACUCGUUAUUGCUGUACCCAUUCGUGUGUACUGGAGCAUUGAGCCAGUACCUCUAUGUGUGCCAGGACCUGCCAUUGUGCCACCCAUGGGAGCCGUGGCAUGCCUGGGAAUGACAGGGCUGUGGGUCAGGGAUGCAGGACUACUGACACUGGCUUGUCUGAACCCUCACUGCAGAUCUACCCAGUCCUAGAAACAGACAGGCACUGCGUUAGUUUUGGGUCUUAAAGCAGCUCCAGACUGAAAUUGCCAGACUGAGGAGGAGAUGAUGGAUGUGUGCAGGCUGAAAACUGGCUGGGAGCCCUGAAAACUCUCCAGUGUAGACAUCAGUGCUUUGGAAACUUUGGCAGCAUCUCCACUUACCUUCCACCGAGUGCUGAAUCAUCCUGCUCAGCUGGGAUGAGCAGCAGCUGGCCGGGGGGGGAUGCCAGGGAUGCUGCUGUGCUAAGGGGCAGUGCCUGGCUGGGGCACAAGGUGAGCUUUGAGGCUCAGGGUGAAUUUUGGGGUUUGGGACACUCUUGAUUCCUGGAUGGGAGCACAGACGAUCUCCCACCCACACAGGGCAGAUACCUCCAAAACCAGGCAGAGCCAAACAUGUCCAUAUCAGAAAAAGGAAGAUUCACCAGACACCAUGCAGGCAGACUUACGUGGUUGCCCUUUUCUCCCUUUGCUGCAGAGUGGAGCAAGUGCCCUGCCAUCUCUUGGGAAGCAGAAGCUGUGGGCCUUGCUGCUGGUGGAUGCAGCCAGUGCUGUUAGACUUGUCUUAGAAGUACCUGUAGGCUAAGAUUUUAGUUACAGGAAGAAGGAAAGGAAAGGGAAAAGAGGGGCGGAAAGAAGAAAUGAAGAAAAGGAUGGAAGAAGGGGAAGAAAAUUAGAAGGGAACGGAGAAAGAUAUGAAAGCACUGGGCUUCAUGGUCUCCUUCUUCCUUUUGUAUCCAGUGGUGUUCUGUGGACCCAGACUGGUUUUGUGGGUUUUGUGAGUGCAGAAGUCUGCACAGAGUUAGCUGUCCAUGCUUCCAUCCCUUGGGAAUCACACAGGACAUCCUCACCACCACUUUGGUGCAACACCUGCACCUUGGAUUGAAAUUGCCACAGGAGUGGCAGCUGGAAGUGAAACAGAGAGAAGCUCUCUUUUUUUCAUCUAAAGUAGUCUUUUGACAUUUUAUCUCCUUAACUGUAUACUGUGGAUAUGCAAAAGCAGUCUCAGCGUUGGUUUAAUAUUUCUGUUAUUGGCUGAUGUCUUAAGUUAUAGGUUUCAUAUCUUCCAGAUUCUGUACUGCAUUAGUAUAUAACCCUGAACUUCACAGAAGGUGUUAGCAAGUUCCCUUCACAGGGUAGUUAGACAAUACAAUCCUUUUCUAGCCUGAGAACCAAGGACACUGUUGCAGCUUCGGGCCCAAAAAAUACAAGCAGCAGCGAAUUGAGGAGAGCAAUCUGGGAGGAUGGGACUUCAUAACCUGAAGCUGUAAUUGGACAAUUAACCCUAAUAAUGAACAUGAUGUAAUGUUCAUAAUGUAAUAAUGUAAAUGAACAAAAACUCAUAAAAGU